GGGGCUUUAGCUCAGUGGUAGAGCGCUUGCCUAGCAAGCGCAAGGCCCUGGGUUCGGUCCCCAGCUCCA
RNAcentral lists this transfer RNA (69 nucleotides) under Rattus norvegicus (Norway rat). It matches the Rfam family "tRNA". From Rfam's summary of the family: Transfer RNA (tRNA) molecules are approximately 80 nucleotides in length. Their secondary structure includes four short double-helical elements and three loops (D, anti-codon, and T loops). Further hydrogen bonds mediate the characteristic L-shaped molecular structure. tRNAs have two regions of fundamental functional importance: the anti-codon, which is responsible for specific mRNA codon recognition, and the 3' end, to which the tRNAs corresponding amino acid is attached (by aminoacyl-tRNA synthetases). tRNAs cope with the degeneracy of the genetic code in two manners: having more than one tRNA (with a specific anti-codon) for a particular amino acid; and 'wobble' base-pairing, i.e. permitting non-standard base-pairing at the 3rd anti-codon position. The record is from Rfam by way of RNAcentral. Lineage: Eukaryota; Metazoa; Chordata; Mammalia; Rodentia; Muridae.